This is a long non-coding RNA of Hibiscus syriacus, 860 nucleotides long. RefSeq lists it as uncharacterized. The transcript is spliced from 4 exons. The record is from RefSeq and is a predicted model, not a curated record. Lineage: Eukaryota; Viridiplantae; Streptophyta; Magnoliopsida; Malvales; Malvaceae.
UAUGUAGAAAAGGAAUAAACCAAAUUCUAAACUUCAUCAUCCUUUCGGUCUUCGCCGUUUGCGCCAUCACCGGUGAACCAUGCCUCCGUUCACGAGUCAAGCACUCCUUGUACAAUCGUGAACACCAUAACAUUGUGAUCAGUGCCUAUCCUCGUGUCAUUCAAUCAUCUUAUUUGAAGUCCCCGCCGGUGAGCUCUGAUAUUCCGUCCGUAUGGUUUCUUAUUGAUGGGGUCGUAAUUGAUAUCCAUGAAACCAAAGAUUUCUUGGUAAAAGCAUCGGAUGUCCUACGGUAGAUCCUCAUUGUUGGAGUUGGAGGAGAAGAAUUCAAAGAAAUGGAGAUUUUAGAUGCUGACAAGGGGGAAAGACUUGAAAGUUUAACCGGAGAAGUUACUUCACUCCAUAUUGUUCAAUUGUUCCAUUUAGAUAUAUACAAGUCAUCUUGAUAAACUUUAUUAAGGAUAUGGUGGUAUGAAAUGUGGAUACAUCAUUCCCAUGGAAAUGGCAAUACCCUUUCUACAUUGGCCCAUACUUUGCUAUUGAUAUGUGCACAGGAAGUUUGAUCUUAUUCGUCUGGGAAAAGUUAAACAAGGAAAACACAGAUGCAUUUGACCUAGAAGUCUCCUCAUAUCUUAUCUACUGGGACGGUAUAUGCUAGUUUUCGAGUUCAAUACUUGCUCUUGCCGAGUAUUUCUUCAAGUAAACUUGUUAUUGGUGGUACGAAUGAAGUAAAUUCUUCUUCCAUGGUUCCAAUAUUUGCAAAUCCGUUCUGGAAGGAAAUUGUGGUAUUGUCAAACCGAUCCAUCUUGAAUUCGAGAUAAUGUUGGAAUUGUUUGAUAUUCGUUUGGAAGCAGUUCUAGUGA